AUUGAACGCUGGCGGCAGGCCUAACACAUGCAAGUCGAACGGCUGAAGAGAACUUGCUUCUUCUUUCAGCGGCGGACUGGGGAGUGAUGCCUGUAAAUCUCCCUCCUAGUUGUGGAUAACGUCCUGAAACAGGGACAACUACUGCAUACGUCCAGAAGACGUAGGUGGGUAACCGUCGGACCUUCGGAUCUCAUCCGAUCCUAGGUUGGAUUAGCUAGUUGGUGGGGUAAAGGGCUACCAAGGCGACGAUCCGUAACUGGUCUGAGAGGAUGAUCAGUCACACUGGAACUGAGACACGGUCCAGACUCCUACGGGAGGCAGCAGUGGGGAAUAUUGGACAAUGGGCGAAAGCCUGAUCCAGCCAUGCCGCGUGGGUGAAGAAGGUCUUCGGAUUGUAAAGCCCUUUAAGUGGGGAGGAAGAGCAGUAGGUUAAUACCUUGCUGUUUUGACGGUACCAAAAGAAUAAGCACCGGCUAACUUCGUG
This 484-nucleotide ribosomal RNA is filed under the name uncultured bacterium. Its description in RNAcentral is "partial 16S ribosomal RNA". It matches the Rfam family "Bacterial small subunit ribosomal RNA", at positions 30 to 507 of the family's 1533-position model. The record is from RNAcentral.